Molecule: ribosomal RNA, 467 nt
Filed under: uncultured bacterium
Lineage: Bacteria
Description: partial 16S ribosomal RNA
Rfam family: Bacterial small subunit ribosomal RNA
Source: RNAcentral
ACGAACGCUGGCGGCGUGCUUAACACAUGCCAGUCGAACGGAAAGGCCCUGCUUUUGUGGGGUGCUCGAGUGGCGAACGGGUGAGUAAUACGUGAGUAACCUGCCCUUGACUUUGGGAUAACUUCAGGAAACUGGGGCUAAUACCGGAUAGGAGCUCCUGCUGCAUGGUGGGGGUUGGAAAGUUUCGGCGGUUGGGGAUGGACUCGCGGCUUAUCAGCUUGUUGGUGGGGUAGUGGCUUACCAAGGCUUUGACGGGUAGCCGGCCUGAGAGGGUGACCGGCCACAUUGGGACUGAGAUACGGCCCAGACUCCUACGGGAGGCAGCAGUGGGGAAUAUUGCACAAUGGGCGGAAGCCUGAUGCAGCAACGCCGCGUGCGGGAUGACGGCCUUCGGGUUGUAAACCGCUUUCGCCUGUGACGAAGCGUGAGUGACGGUAAUGGGUAAAGAAGCACCGGCUAACUACGUG